Molecule: ribosomal RNA, 454 nt
Filed under: uncultured bacterium
Lineage: Bacteria
Description: partial 16S ribosomal RNA
Rfam family: Bacterial small subunit ribosomal RNA
Source: RNAcentral
GAUGAACGCUGACAGAAUGCUUAACACAUGCAAGUCUACUUGAACUUCGGUUUGGGUGGCGGACGGGUGAGUCACGCGUAAAGAACUUGCCUCACAGUUAGGGACAACAUUUGGAAACGAAUGCUAAUACCUGAUAUUAUGAUUUUAGGGCAUCCUAAAAUUAUGAAAGCUAUAUGCGCUGUGAGAGAGCUUUGCGUCCCAUUAGCUAGUUGGAGAGGUAACGGCUCACCAAGGCGAUGAUGGGUAGCCGGCCUGAGAGGGUGAACGGCCACAAGGGGACUGAGACACGGCCCUUACUCCUACGGGAGGCAACAGUGGGGAAUAUUGGACAAUGGACCAAAAGUCUGAUCCAGCAAUUCUGUGUGCACGAUGACGUUUUUCGGAAUGUAAAGUGCUUUCAGUUGGGAAGAAAAAAAUGACGGUACCAACAGAAGAAGUGACGGCUAAAUACGUG